RNAcentral lists this unclassified non-coding RNA (213 nucleotides) under plant metagenome. RNAcentral's name for it is "partial contains small subunit ribosomal RNA, internal transcribed spacer 1, and 5.8S ribosomal RNA". The record is from RNAcentral.
UUUCCGUAGGUGAACCUGCGGAAGGAUCAUUCAUAAUAAGUGUUUUAUGGCACUUUUUUAAAUCCAUAUCCACCUUGUGUGCAAUGUCAGGGUUGAUUUUCCUCUCGAGAGGAUCAACCCCAAACAUCAACUAUAUCUCAACUCUUUGUCUGAAAAAUAUUAUGAAUAAAACAAUUCAAAAUACAACUUUCAACAACGGAUCUCUUGGCUCUC